UGUUUAUCAUCGAGCUUUACAUUGUUGUUGUGCUUUUCCGCGAUCUAAAUAUAAGCACAGCAUUUGUACUGACUCCACGGAUACAGCACCUUAAUAAGUGUUGUAACGAAAUUUUCGAUUAACAUUUUUCGCUUUGACUUACUGACUUACUGAAAAGAUUUAAUUACUUAAGGACGAGAAAAAGCACAUGAAAAGAGAAUGACACCUGUAUCUAUAAACAAAUAUAUGAAAGAAAUCGAUAUAUAUAUCAGAUCGAUCAAGAGAAAACGUAAGUCAUGUAAAAACAAGCGCACGAUUCGCAAGCUUAAUCAGGCGAAAAAGAAAAUGAUGGCGUUAUGGAACAGGACGGACAUUAGCAAAAAGAAGAAGUUCAAAAAAAUUGUAAUGAGCUAUGAGAGUCAUACCUUCCGAAUUGGAGGAAUUGGGUGUGCUUUCUGGUCCCGAGGUAGCGCUGACAUCCUUCACACCGUGCUGCAAGGAAUCCGUAUUUGAGAAUUUUGCACGUGGCGCAAAUAUAUCGGCUUCUUAUUUUGUUCAUCGCUAGAUUUCGUUUCAAAGAUCAGAAGAACGCGAAUCACACGUUCGGCCACUUACCUCCGGCGAUAUCUCCUGCCAGUUUCCGUUCUCCGUUAGAGCGACCUGUUACAUUAGUAAAUACACAGCACUCAACCACGGUUAAUUCUUUCAUGAAACAGAAAAAACGUACUCGCUUCGUGUUAAAGUAUAAAAUAAGAGAACGCAAGUGGCGCGAUGGGCAAUGGGCUUUGAUCAACGAACGCUUCAAAUUCGCAGCUUGCCAAUCUUCACUUUCAGCAUGCCAGAUGUCUGUUCGUCCGUUGCGUCACGUUGAAAGACGAUCGCUUCGAGGUGGAGUAUUUAUAUAUGUUUUUUUCGCAACCAUAUUUCAAAUUAGCCAAUAAGAGCCGAACGCUGGAUACACGGAGAAAAUAAUUCUGUUAAUGUAACUGAAUUUUCUGUUACUUGGAGAUCCGAUCAAAAAACUCGAUUUUAGGAACAGAAAGAUUCCUAUAGAAAGUUUCAACCAAUUACUCAAUUAUCUUAACUCACACAAUGAACAUGACCAGAUCGACAUGAGAGAGAGAGAGAAAGAGAGAUCAGAGUGAUUUUGAUUUCUAGAUAUCCUAUUCCAGUUUUUUAUGAGAAAAACAUAAUAAUAUUCAUUUUUGAGGUUUAGGUUGCCUACUAAAGAACGCCAAAGUUAGGAAAAACGUUUCCUUAUAAUUUAUAUUGAGUGAUAGCUCAAGCGAAAGAUCUUGUCAAGUAUCUUCACUUCCUCGUGGUGUAUACUGCGUAAUGCAAAAUGAUCUGUCAAUAUUUACAUAUGUGCAUAUAAAUAAUUAAUCUAUAACAUCCUUUAUCGUAUAAACUAUAAAUCACAGAUAUUUAAAAAUAUAUCUAUAUUCUGAAUCUAUUCGACGAAAUUUUUCAUUUCAGCUAUUGUUUAAUAUAGGUUAUACACAAAUGUCUAUACUAAACUAGAUUGCUAACAAGCUAUCUAAAAGCAUAUAAGGGUUUGCGUCCGAUAGAGUUUCCGGUGUAUCCGAGAAAAUGGCCGCCACAUAUUUUCACUACGUUUAAUCAUAAAAUUCUUU
Odontomachus brunneus is the source of this 1613-nucleotide long non-coding RNA. RefSeq lists it as uncharacterized. NCBI's taxonomy places the organism in Eukaryota, Metazoa, Arthropoda, Insecta, Hymenoptera, Formicidae. The record is from RefSeq and is a predicted model, not a curated record. The transcript is spliced from 3 exons.